RNAcentral lists this ribosomal RNA (500 nucleotides) under uncultured Streptococcus sp. Its description in RNAcentral is "bacterial SSU rRNA". It matches the Rfam family "Bacterial small subunit ribosomal RNA", at positions 33 to 507 of the family's 1533-position model. Lineage: Bacteria; Bacillati; Bacillota; Bacilli; Lactobacillales; Streptococcaceae. The record is from RNAcentral.
ACGCUGGCGGCGUGCCUAAUACAUGCAAGUAGGACGCACAGUUUAUACCGUAGCUUGCUACACCAUAGACUGUGAGUUGCGAACGGGUGAGUAACGCGUAGGUAACCUGCCUAUUAGAGGGGGAUAACUAUUGGAAACGAUAGCUAAUACCGCAUAACAGUAUGUAACACAUGUUAGAUGCUUGAAAGAUGCAAUUGCAUCGCUAGUAGAUGGACCUGCGUUGUAUUAGCUAGUAGGUAGGGUAAUGGCCUACCUAGGCGACGAUACAUAGCCGACCUGAGAGGGUGAUCGGCCACACUGGGACUGAGACACGGCCCAGACUCCUACGGGAGGCAGCAGUAGGGAAUCUUCGGCAAUGGGGGGAACCCUGACCGAGCAACGCCGCGUGAGUGAAGAAGGUUUUCGGAUCGUAAAGCUCUGUUGUUAAGGAAGAACGAGUGUGAGAAUGGAAAGUUCAUACUGUGACGGUACUUAACCAGAAAGGGACGGCUAACUACGUG